AGUCGAACGCGAAAGGCUCCUUCGGGGGCCGAGUAGAGUGGCGCACGGGUGAGUAACACGUAGGUAAUUUGCCUUCGGGUGGGGAAUAACAGCCGGAAACGGCUGCUAAUACCGCAUAAUGCAGCGGCUCGACAUCGAGACAGUUGUUAAAGCGGGGGAUUCGCAAGAACCUCGCGCCUGAAGAGAAGCCUGCGGCAGAUUAGCUAGUUGGUAAGGUAAUGGCUUACCAAGGCGACGAUCUGUAACCGGCCUGAGAGGGCGGUCGGUCACACUGACACUGACAUACGGGUCAGACUCCUACGGGAGGCAGCAGUCGGGAAUUUUGGGCAAUGGGCGAAAGCCUGACCCAGCAACGCCGCGUGAAGGAUGAAAUUUUUCGGAAUGUAAACUUCGCAAGAACGGGAAGAAUAAGUGGGGGACAAUACCCCCCAUGAUGACGGUACCGUUUGUAAGCUCCGGCUAACUCCGUGCCAGCAGCCGCGGUAAUACGGGGGGAGCAAGCGUUGUUCGGAUUUACUGGGCGUAAAGGGCGCGUAGGCGGCGUGACAAGUCACUUGUGAAAUCUCCGGGCUUAACUCGGAACGGUCAAGUGAUACUGUCGUGCUAGAGUACAGAAGGGGCAACUGGAAUUCUCGGUGUAGCGGUGAAAUGCGUAAAUAUCGAGAGGAAC
This 670-nucleotide ribosomal RNA is filed under the name uncultured bacterium. RNAcentral describes it as "bacterial SSU rRNA". It matches the Rfam family "Bacterial small subunit ribosomal RNA", at positions 60 to 707 of the family's 1533-position model. The record is from RNAcentral.